RNAcentral lists this long non-coding RNA (11426 nucleotides) under Pelobates cultripes (western spadefoot toad). Lineage: Eukaryota; Metazoa; Chordata; Amphibia; Anura; Pelobatidae. The record is from RNAcentral.
CAGCCACCCACUACGGCUUCCUUACAAGCAUCCGCUGAAACCUCAGAGAAAAUGGUUACUUAGCAGCAUUAAGAUGCCAGGUUCUGUGACCUGAAACAUCUCAUACAAUAAGCGAGAAUUCAGUAAGUUGACAUUUUAAAAAUGUACCUUAAUUAAAAAAAUGGAAGAAAAGAUUUUCACUGAAAAGCAAUUAUUAUAAAUCGAACAGAACUGCAUCCUUUUAGAACAAUCCGUCUGUGGCACAUUGCUUAGUACUGAAUGUAUAUUAGAUGAAAAUCAUGCUGUAAAUAUUUGUUAUGACAAAUUGCAGGGUGAGAAUGGGAUGCUUCUUUGCAAUUCAUGAUUUUGCUCCCCCUACUGGCAGCUAUUGAAAAUGUAAUAAAGGGUUUAUCCACUAAACACCAAAUGUAGUGAAUUGAAAAUCGAAUAGCUAAAUGUAUGCAUGAAGUGCUGAUUGGGAAAUUGCAGUUCCUUAAUACAUUGAGGAUACCUAGCUGGAAUCUCUAUUCAAUAACCGUUCAACUGAGGCAAAAAUUUGUGUUCGACUCCCUGGGCUAGUUUUGUCUUGUCCGCAUCAUUUCUAGACUAUGCGUAGAAUUAUACAAAAUAUGUGAACAAGUCAGUGUCCCCGGCCUAGGCAGCUAAAUGUUUUUCUUAUUGAGUGACACAUACUUCCCUAAUGCAUUCCUCAGGCAGAGUGUGCUGACUCAAAGCCCUGUCUGUUCACAUCAGACAUACAGACAUCAGAUUUAGCACCCUUCCUGCCUGUUAGCAGGAGCACACCUCUCCCAGCUGUGCAUCGGAGCAUGGAUUUGCAUGAAGGGAUUCUUGUGAUACUGUAACCCUGACACGGAAUCUGAUCAGUGAUUGCAACAGAAAAUGCUAUGUCUUCACUUUAAUGAGCACUGUUCUGUUUUAUGGCUCACUUUAUUCACACUUUAUCGAUCAAGAUAAAAAAGUAUGUUUAAGCUUUUUAAUGGAAACAGGAGCAAGACUAUCAAGAAAUAUAUAAAUGGAUGGUCCUAGACUAUACGCAGCUAUAUCAUCCCCCGCCCUCCAUGUAGAUCCCUUAAAGCGGCACUGUCAUGCUGAACUUACCUUUACUGUCAUGCUGAACUUACCUUUCCCCAAUAGAUUCCUCUUCUCUCCCUCUGUCAGGAUCUGUUCUUAAUUUCUUCCUGUCUGCUCUAGUUUUCUUUAAAAUAAUAAGACAAAGUGGGGACUAUGUGUCUUAUGGAGGUUUCCUACACCUGACCAACUAUGACCAGAGGAGGAGUAAAGUGUCAUUCAUUUCCGGUGGUCAGAGCAAUUUUCCCACAAUUCUCAACUUUUCUCCGUGUUCCCGCGAAGCCUCCUUUCACACUUCCCGAACGUCCUGUCAUUUUAGACAGAACUCCGGCGAAACUACCGAAUUGAGUCCCAGGCGUAAGUGGAACAAACUCUUGAAAACGGCCUCAUUAGGGCGAAACGUGCUGUUUUUUAUACUUCAUUAAGUAAGAGUUAUUGUUUUGACUACAUGUAUAUUUGGGUCAGUCUUUACACUUUUAUUUUUUAUAUUUACCAUUUACUUAUACCUGGCAUAUUCUACCAUCUGAAGUACCAGAGCCAUCAUCAAAAGAAUCCUAGGUGGGGAUUGUUCCACCUACGUAUGGCACAUAGAGCGGUUUGUCUGCUCUGAAAAUUGUAAGUAUAUCUCCUAUUACAUUCUGCACUUACAUAUAUAGAGAGCACUAUGGGCCUUCUCUUCUUCUUUUAUUACAUAUGACCUACACUGCAACUACCAUCAGAGGGAUAUCCUACAUGUGGGGAGUUUAAAUACCACUGUACGUUGUUUUACCUGGAGUUGGUUAUAGCUCUUUCAAACGUGAGUUGGCACUUUUUAACCUCAGUCUUGUCUGUAGCCAAAUUUCUCUACGAUAUUGCACCAUUGAUCCCCUAUGCUUUUGUUUUUUCAUAUGCUGCUGAUGAUUUGACCCAUGACAUCACAUGAACACUUAAAGAAAAUUGAAAUCCAUAGACUUUCAUUGCUUGUUUUUGGUAUCUUUUUGUAUUUUUAAAAUUUAGUUUUUUUAUCUGUUCUAUGUGGCGCACCCUGUAUCCAUUGCGGUCUCUCCAGUUUUCUUGAAAGGUUUGCGGGUUACCCUUCCCUUCAGGUGUGCAGCCUUCUCUCCUAUUGUGAUCAGUCUUGCAGUGCUGUUCCACCCCAUCUCUCUUUUUUGCUACCAAGACUAAUUUAUCUCACUGAAGUAGUCUUGGUGCCAUGUGUCCCUGCCUGUUUAACCCUCCAAUGAAAAGACUGCAGUGUUUUCAUUGCAGGGUUAACAUGCUUCUAUUGGCUGUCAACAAUGAAGCCACUAGAAUAGAGUUAAACUCGGUUAUAGCUCAAAUGACUUUCAUUGAGAGCCUUUGAUUGGCACAGCACCAUUGAGAGCAUUUGAUGGGCACAGCACGGUGUAUUGCCACGCAUGGGCAAUAUUGAGGGAGGCACAGUGGCAGCGAGGAGAGCAGCACGCCACAGUGUGUAAGAUAAGUACUUUUUAAUCCCUGCAAGUGGGGGUGAACACGUAGAUAGGUAGGGGGACACUAUAAUGUUAGGAAAACGUUUGUUUUCAUAAUGCUGUGGUGUUCCUUUAAUGAUAUAUUUUAGGGGCCCUAAAAUUUUGUAUGUGAUUUAAGAUGCAUGAUGAUGCAUCCAAUCCCAUGCAAAACCCCUCUACUCAACACUAGACAGACUGCUAUCAACAGCAGUAGCAAUAGCACAUAUUGAUAAGGCACCAACAUAUGUAGCAGCGCUGUACAAUGAGCAAACAUGUUUAGACUGUUGGGACAAAGUUUAGAGGUAGGCCCUGGCAUUUAGUGUUAACCAGUGUCUCACACAAUACUGCAGGGGACCUAGAGGGAUUGGAGUUAGUGUGUGACUUUCUCAGUAGGCCUACAGAAAUACAGGAAACAAGGAAAAAGAACACUCGGCAUUACAAUGAUUCAAACAAAGCAAAUCGUGCACAAUAAACAGGAGGGUCCAUGUUUCAGCCCUAACUUGGACUGGAUGUCUUUAUUAAAAAUUUUAUUCAAACAAACUAGAACAUGUACAAUAAACAGAAAGUCACAUUCAUAGUUCUGUUUACUGUGUGUGCUCUGCUUUGUGUGGAUAUAAACUAGUUUGAUGAAUGAGUCUAUCACACACAACACUGAGGAAUACCGAAAGAGCAGUAUUUAAAGCGAAUAGUUUGAAAAUCCAGUGAUGUGAUUCUUGUAGACAGGAUAGAAGAGGGUAAAGAAAGAUGGAAUGAGUAGGGGAAGGUGUAAAGAAUAAAUGGAAUUAGGAUGGCUCGGGAGAGAAUGAAUAUAAAGGGUAGAAGGUAUGAUGAUGAGGAACACAAUAAGAUGGGAAGUAGGGAGAGGCUGUAUAAAAGGGAGAGUGAAUUAAAAGGGAAGAGAUAUAUGAAAUUAAGAAAAGAGGCAGAUAUUCAAUAAGGAGGGGAAGGAGAACAUAUUGAAUAGGCUGGGAGUGGUUUGGAAUUAGGAGACAAAAGAUGUGAGGGAGAUAGGAUGAGGAAGGGGGAGCAUGUUAAUUAUAGAGACAGAUGAAGGAGGUGAGAGAAGACUGGAUGAGGACAGAGGGAUGAAGGUUUGGGGAGGGCGAGGCUGAAUAAGAAGGGAAGAAAGCAUAUGGAAUGAGCAUGGUAGAAGGGAGAUAAAUAAGGGCCCAAUUUGAAUGGGGAUUGGAUAAGCAGAUGGAAUAGGGAAGAAGAGAAAUAAUUAGAGAUGCAUGGCUCCCAAUCAUCCUGAUUUCGGCAGGGCAGUUACGAUUUUCGAGUCCUGUCCCACCGUCCCUCCUUAGUUUCCUGCUGUUUCACUUUUAAAGACACCAGGUAACUGUCCCCAACUCUCAUAUAGCGAGAACAUCAUUAGACGCGCUCGUUCUAUGAUCAGGGCACUAGAACCCUGCAUGGGGCACUGAAACAGCACUGCCUGCAAGCCCUGCCUACAAGCCCUGCCGGCCUGAGUGAUGGACAGACAGCUUGGCUUGUAUUCACACCAAGCUGAGUCGAUCCACCCAUUUGGAUGUGGAGCUAGUAACACAAUCACAUCAAUGACCCGCCCUUUUACCUCCCUUCCAUCAGCGAUUCUCAGGACACCGGAGUUAGGAGGAAUGGAGAUGAGGGGGCUAUCGAUGAGGAGAAACAUUGAUAGGGAAGAAAUUUGAUCAGUUAAUGGAAGUAACGUGUUAAUACAGCCUUUAAACGAAGACUUUAAGAGCUAUAACUACUAAAGUGCCCCUCCCUGUCUCUGCUACAGCCUUUAGAGAGCCAGAAAUUUUAGCUUAUGAGCUUCCAUUGGCUCUCCUGAGCUAUGCCCUGCAGUGCAAAUCGGCUGAGAGUGUUAACUGAUGAUCACUCUCAGCCAGUUAGCUAUGCCCUCCAAUACAAAAAGAAUCUCCAAGUCUUACUACUAAUAAUAAAAAUGAUAGAUGAUGACUUAGUGUUAUUAGAUUAUAUAUUGAUCCCAGUUCCCCAGCAUAUGAAAAAAAAAACAUCCCUAUACACUAAAGAAGUUGAGCAGCAUAAAUAUAUACAAUAGUUCCGGCUCGAGAAUGUUAAACAUACUACUCUAUAGGUUUGGGGUUUUUUUAAGUAUGGUGUCAGGAUUUGCAAAACCAAUAAUGGAAAAAUUAUCCAGUUUUGCUUUUGCAGUUUGCAAUUACAUUUUCCAUUAUCUGUAUAAAUAAUCCCCAAGUCUAGGUGAGUCUGGCAUAGUGCUAGAACUUUUCUAAUUAUACCAAUAAGGCGCAUUUCGUCAAGCUGUAUACUGAAAUUAUCACACACAGAUUUCAUUUUCAUUUUGUUUAAAAAUUAUAGCACGCUACACAAUGCACUCAGAUCUGCAAAUCAAAUCAAGAUGUCCGCUUCUCAGAGGCAAUAUGCAGACAGAGAGAAGGACCAGGCCAGCUGAUACACUAGGUGGAGAGCGUAAAUUAUGGUAUUGUUUAGGGAAGAACAUGUAGUGAGUAGAAUUCGUGGAAUUAUUUGUAUCAUUAGGGAGUUCACCACUUGGACACAUAAAGGGCAGGAAAGCCUUAAGGAUUAUUCUAAUUAUUUUUUUUUAAAAAAUGUUUUGGAUGCAAAAAAAAUCCAGCAAGGAUUAUCAACAGGAAAAAAAAAAAAUCUAUCUGGAUCCAAUGUUCCCUUUCAUGUGUGGCGUAGUUUCCUGCUUCACAGUUAGUGCCAGAAGAAUAUGACCCACAUUUUAAAUUAGAGUCAGAUUAUGAAAUGAAUGUUGUCCAGGAAUGCACAUUUUUAGGAUUCACUUAGACGUAAAUCUGUUUCACAUUCAAAAUUUUCAAAGUAUGAACAAUGUUACACGUAUUUAAUGUGUGAGCAAAUGGCAAACCAAGCAAAAAAUAUUUUAGCUCGCACUCAGAUUACACACCACAACCAAGUAGUUGACAGCCCUGUACAACAUAAACUAUUAUUGGUUUUAGAAUGUCCGGGGAACACUAAAAUAAUCUAAGCAGGGUGGAAAUGCUGCAUUAAGGUCUAGAUGCCUUUCUGCAGACUCAUUUUGACACAUAUACAUAAAGCUGCAAGUUAAGAUUUUCUUUAAACUUGUGCAGCCCUGAAACAGUCACCCUCUCCCCCCCCCCGUACUCUUACAACAAUUAAAGGGACACUCCAGGCACCCAGACCACUUCUGCCCAUUGGAGUGAUCUGGGUGCCAACUCCCACCACCCUUAACCCUGUAAGUGUAAUUAUUGCAGUUUUUAUUUAUAAACUGCAAUAAUUACCUUGCAGGGUUAAGUCCUCUUCUAGUGGCUGUCUAUCAGACAGCCGCUAGAGGGACUUCCGGGUUCUUAGAGUACAAAAAAUGUUUUAAACGACGCUGGACAUCCUUACGCCAUGCAUGAGGACCUCCAGCGUCGCCGGAAUCCCCUAAAUAAUGCUUUCCUAUGGGAAGGUCUAAUGCGCGUGUGGCCCAUUUCCACGCAUGCGCAUUAGGUCUCCCCCACCGGCUGAUGUCGGCGAGGGAGGAGUGUGGGUGGAGCCUGACCCAGCGCUGAGGGACAUCGGCACUGGAUUCAGGUAAGUCACUGAAGGGGUUUACAGGGACUCUUCAAUGCCAGGAAAACAUAUCAGUUUACCUGGAACUGCAGGACUCUGCAGUGCCCCCCUCCCUCAUCCCAUGUUGCUAAAGGGGUCAAACCCCUUCAGUGACUUACCUGAAUCCAGCCCCAUGGGCUUUCAAUUAGACAACAGGUCCUGUUACUUCCUUGUUUGAUUACCUCUGUAGAGCUAAACUCGAGGCAGCAAUUGCCCUGAGCGCCUGCCUUGCAAAGACUUUUUACUGAGCUGCAUUGGAAUGUAUGUGAUAGGACAGCCACAGAGAGUCUGGGUGGGGUUAGAAGGGGAGGGUUUGCCAAGGCUUCAGAUAAGAGAACUGCAGGUUUUGCAAGCUGUUUUUAGAUUUACCCCCAAUGAAAAAUGCAUAUAUAAAUGCAUGCAAGCUUUCACUGAGGGUAUAUCUACUAAGCAGUGCUGUUUUUAUAUUGGUAUACUUAUAGACUAAAUGAUAUAGGGUGAAUUACUAAAGAGAAAAUGGUAAGGAAUUCAAAGUAAAUUCAAAUUUAAGGCCAAAGUAGCCAAACCCGACUUGAAGAAUGUUUCCAGUUUAGCUAUUUUGUUCUUAGAUUUUAAAUUCACUUCAAAUUCACUGUAAAUCCCUGAGAAUUAAAGAUUAUGCUAGCUUUAGUGUACUAAUAAUCUUAAUUUUAAUAAUGACAGGAGGUGAGUAUUUUACUGGGCGCCAAGAUAGUCGGAACCCUUGCGUGUCUAAUAAGUUGCCUUCGGAACUUUGUGCCUUGUGCCUGGGGUUCCGACUAUCUUGGCGCCCAGUAAAAUACGAAGCCUCCUGUCAUGUGGUAAAAUUCUCAUCUUAGUAAAUAACCCUGAUUGUGUGAGUGUCUUUGUGUAUCUGUGAGCAUUUAUAACCACUAUUCAACUAUUUUGGUCUUACAUUUGGAAUUCAUUUUAAAUUCCUGACAAUUCUCACUCUAAAUAACCCUAAAAGACAGCAACCUAAUAUUGUACUGAAUGGAAUGAGACUAAUGAUAUUGAAAGGAAAUAUGAAAGAAAAGAAUUAGCAAACAGGACAAUAAAAGGAUACAUAAAUAAUUAGGAAAACCUGCGAGCUAUCCGGAAUCAUUUGGAAAGUAAAUUUAGGAAAAGAAAGGGAAGGAUAUACUAGAAUGUAAAGAGAGAUUAAAAAGUAAAUUAAUAAUAUCAAAGUAGUUAACUUAAAUCAUGUAGUGUAUGUUUCCAGUAUGCAGACAUCUGUAUGUUUGUCUGUGUGUCUGUAUGUGUAUGUAUGUCUGUGUGUAUGUCUGUGUCUGUAUGUCUGUGUCUGUCUGUCUGUAUGUGUGUGUAUGUCUGUCUGUGUGUGUGUGUGUAUGUCUUACUGUGUGUAUGUGUGUGUAUGUCUGUAUGUAUGUGUGUGUGUGUCUGUAUGUCUGUGUGUGUAUGUAUGUGUGUAUGUUUGUCUGUGUGUCUGUAUGUAUGUGUGUCUGUGUAUAUGUCUGUGGGUCUGUAUGUAUGUAUGUGUGUCUACAUGUGUAUCUGUUUGCAUGUGUGGGGGGAGGGGAUAACGUAUGGGAGGAGGGAGGAGGUGGCAGGGGUUUAUGUACAGGUGUGGGGGGGGGGGGCAGCAGGGCAAUUUUUGCAUCGGGGCCCCGUGGUUUCUAGUUAUGCCUCUGGAUGCAUGAAAGACACGGAAUGGAGGAACAGAGUGACUGAGGCAGACAUGUUUUAAAGUGUUCCCUUAUCAUCCCAGCAUAACCUUCCAUGCCACAGGACAGAGGGUGGAGGAAGAGUAUGGGUAGUUCUAUGAAUUGCCAUUUACUGCACUUCACAUGUGGUGGAGAAAGGCAUGAGGGCCACCUCUACCUCCAGUAAGCAGAGAAUACAGAGUAGUUAUUCCAAAUCCCUUGACCUGUAUUAGGUGUUUAUGCUGUUGAACUAAAAAAAGGCAUAAAACACAGUUGUAGCCAUUUCCUAUUAUGCCACAAAAAGGGGAAACAAAUCUUCUUGACUCCAUAUUGCCAAUCAGAUUUCUCAUUGGAUCAACAACCUGUUAGCAUUGAUCCAGGACCAAGUGCCCAUGGACUCCAAACACCUUAACUACUUCAGUUACUUGAAGUGGUUAUGGUGUAUAGACCGAUUACAGUUAAUGCUGUAAAUCUCACUAAUACCUUAGCUUGUUUCCUUUUUUCUUUAUCAAGUUAUGGAUGGAUUAUGACAAAUAUAAUGCUUCUCCAUUUGCGACCAUCACUUGCCACUUCUGCCAAAUUUUUUUCUUGGCGUUGUGUUACCACAGCUUAUACACUAGGAAACAAACUAAGCUGGAAGUGGUGAGGUAUGCACAAAAGUCUCAGAUUUUUUCUCUAACUUAUGAGCGUUACAUUAAUUUCUACACCAACUAGUAACUUGUGCCCCCUCUAGUCAGUGAUCCAGCCAGCUCAUUGAAUAUAUUUUUGGCCCAAUUUUUUUCCCACCAUGUAAAAACUAACCCUCAUUACAUACACAUGGCAUGUAAGGUGAUAUAUAAAGUAUCCAUUACUCAGUGUAUAUUUCACUAAUCAAUGGUAUGUUUCAGCUGCAAGGUCUUGCCUUUUUCCAAGUUUAGAAUUAAGCAACAGUUCUUAUGCAAUGGUCCUUGAUUAGUUAACAUCUAACCUUUGAUUUAACAAGAUGAGUGGGAGAAUAGUACAGUGUUCUCGUGACAAAACGCCAGGGCUUUAUAACCAAUUAUUAGAAAUAAGCCUGAUGUAUCUUUUCACUUAGCUUUCUUUAAUUUUUUUUUUUUUUUUUUAUCGUAUAACAAAUGCUUUGGAUAUUUCCAUCUGCUGACAUUCGAAGAGAUAUCAUUCAGCCAAGGCCAAAACAGCAUUAUAUGCAACUGCUCUUGAAGUAUAAGCCUUGAUCUGUGUAUAGUAAAACAGACAUGAAUUUCCUAUAAUGCCAACUAGGCCUUGGACUACAGCAGAAGGGUAAAGUGGACGGAAAGCGAUGUUACAUUAUUUUAAUAGUAUAUAUAAGUUUAGCUUUUUUUUUUUUGUGAUUAUAUUUUUAUUUGACUUUUUCAAAGUUUUCAUAAAGUGAGAGCUUUUUUGUCUUUUAACUCAUCUGUUAGCAGCCAAACAACCAAGCAGUAAAUGUAUUGAGCAAUGGAUAAACAAACCUUGCUUCUUGCAUAUCUCCCUUAACUUCACAUGAAGAACACGCAUGAAGUAAUUUGCACUGGUAAAUACACAUGCCAACCCACAUAACACAUACAUAUGCAGUCACGCACAAGUGUGUUACAUAUUUUGAGCACAAAGAUUUAUUACACAUAAAAAUUCAAUACAUACACACACAAUCAGAUAAAAAAAAAUAGUGACACACAUAAAUGAAGGCGUCCUCACCUGGUGACAAACGAUCCAGCUAAAAAGGACCAGGCAAUGACAACAGCCAGAUGAAUCCAAUUCAAAGAGGGGUGAUUUUUUUAGGGUCUGAAUCCAAAUAGAAUCCAUCUCAACUUAGUCUGUACUAAGCCAGCUGAAUAUUUUUAAUGUUGGUAAAACUCACUCAUUAACACCCUGCACCUUAGACCAUACACAGCUCAACAAAGAUAUUUAAAUUCUAUCAGCAUUGGAAGAAAAGACGUCCCACACAUCACAUAUGCGCUAAAAAAAAAAGACUUAAAACAUAUGUAGAACUCCGCUCCUCUCUUCUUAUAUGCUCUCUCUCACUUUCUUGCAAUCUGUCCUUUCCUUUGUGAGAGCCUCUACAGAAUUUUCCACCCUCCUUGCACUGUGAAUAUGUGUUAUCUGUAUGUAUAUUCCUUCAUGUGUUAGUGUGUACAUGUGUUAUCUGUUUGUGUAUGUGUCAGUUUGUGUGUUUAUGGGUGUGUGACAAGAUGCGUACAUGCCAGUGUGUGUGUCAGUGUGUAUGUGCAGGACAGUGUGCAUGAAUUUUGUCCUAACACGAUUGGACAAACUGUACUCACUCUGUUAGGACGAAAUUCGGUAGUUUUCCCAGCGAAUGGCUGUUCAAACAGCGAAUGAAGCAGCACAAGAUCACAGAGGAAAGGCUGGGUAUUGUGAGAAAUUUCUUUGACUACAGGAAAUAGAGUGGACUUAAGGUCUUCCUUGGGUCAAAGGUGGUCAAGCGAAGGAAAAAUACAUAAUACAAAGUAGUCCCUACUUUGUCUUAUCGUUUAAAGAAAAAUAGAUCAGAAAGGAAGAAAUGAGGAACAGAUCCUGAGAGAGGAAGAGAAGAGGAAGCAUUGGGGAAAGGUAAGUUCAGCAUGAUAGUGCCGCUUUAAGAAUUUGACAAUGUGUAAUUAUUCAUUCUCUUAACAUACAUGUAGUUGAAUUGUAUGUAUUGCUUAAUGUGUAUUUGUGCACUGCACUUUACUAUGCCUCCUUGACAGUCUCAGCCAAUCCUAUGUGAUAGCUUUGUAAUUGGCUCAGAACACAACUUGUGAUGAUAUCAGCCAAGCAGGCAGAUCAGGGGCAGAGCCAGCAGCAGCAGACUGAACUAAAGGUAAUAUUUUAUGGAUAAGGGGGGAGCCAGGCAGGCUAGAUUGUGGUUUUAACACUAUAGGAUCAGGAACAAAUGUUUGUCUUCCUGACCCUAUAGUGCUCCUUUAAAGCUGUAGGCGUGUUCAUUAUAGGGUAGGAAUUAUGGAUAGUCUGCUACCCAAGUAUAUUGAAAUAAGAGAUCCGAGUGAACAGAGCAUUUGACCCACUAAUUGCAUCCAAGCUUCUGUUGCAGGUGGCAUGUUGGUAUAUCCUACUGCCUGUUAUUUGUUAUUACAAUUUAUUCUGCACAUUUAACAAUUCUAGUUUUAGCCAAUGGACGGACCAUUGUAGUUCAGCUUUUGGGUAGGUGUAGGGAGGGGCUGUGAAUUACUGUAAUUACUUACAUGUAAUUACUUAGAAAGCAUUUAGAACUGCAGUAACCAAAAAUUUGUAGCUAUGUAAAUGUUUUUGAAAAGCCAUGGACACAGUAUAUGUUGGCGCUUUACAUCAUGUAAAUGAAUUAGGUUAAAACGAGCACAUAUUAAUUACUAAUGCAGUAAUUCUAACUACAUGUGUGUGUUUUUUGUACUGACAUCGUUUAAAGGUGGGAACGAGUAUGGGGUCACAUCGGGUUGGCCAGUUUAUAUUCAAAUGAGAUGUUGCAUAAAUCCAUGGUGUUAAACAUUUAUUAAUAUCUUAUGUUUGAAAUAAUGUUAGUACUUGUAGCCUAUCCCAGGAAAAAAAUACAAUGAAUUAAAAUAUCUCUUGUCCCUAAUUUUCUCAGAUUAUUGGAGCCAUUCUUGCCUCGAUGUCUGUGGGUCAAACAUGUCCAAAUCAACACUAGCACAGCAUGUCUGCACUUAUCCUUUUG